RNAcentral lists this long non-coding RNA (705 nucleotides) under Apteryx owenii (little spotted kiwi). Its description in RNAcentral is "lncRNA (ENSAOWG00000016530.1)". Lineage: Eukaryota; Metazoa; Chordata; Aves; Apterygiformes; Apterygidae. The record is from RNAcentral.
UUCACAGGUAUCAAUGAAAAAUAACUGUGAAGCUUAAAAUGUCUUCAUAUCUUUCAGGGCUUCUCAUUUCCUUCUGGCAUAAUUGCACCAUGAGAGUCACAGAACACUUCAAAUACAAUGAUGGUGAGAGCAACAUGUAUCAAAAAAGCCUACAGGUCCUUUGUGGUGGGGACAAAAACACAGAGAUAUGAUCAAAUGCUGUCGUCUGACCAAAGAGAAAUUUAUCGCUCAUCUGAGAGAGCUUCCUAAUUUGAAGCUAAAAGCCUCCCCUUCCAGAAUGCAUGUGAACGUGCUAUUAAGAAGGAUAAGCUUGGAGUGCCCGGUCACCGUGGUAACUGCCAGAAAAAUUCUCCUGAAGUUUGAAGAGGUCAGCGAGCGGGGUCACCAACUCUGGCCUCUCCCCGCGCCGGGGCCGGCCGGCUCCAUCCCGCGGCGGCAGCGGCGGCCCGGGCCGAGCCCUGGGAGGUUCUCGGAUACAGGCAUGAUGCUACAAAGUCUGUGUGAAAGACGUCAGAGGGAAAUACUUAUUUGAAGAGAUCUUUGUUAUUAGAUGCAUAGUAAGUUUUAUGAAAGGUUCAAUUUUAUAAAAUGCAAAUUCUGGACUAAUGGCUCCUCUAAAAGCCUUUAUGAUCUCUGUAGCCACGUAAUUAAACUACUACUCASCUCUACUUCAGAUAUCCAACAGAAGUCAGAACUGCAAAAAAU